RNAcentral lists this microRNA (22 nucleotides) under Mus musculus (house mouse). RNAcentral's name for it is "mmu-miR-465a-3p". Its record names the gene mmu-miR-465a-3p. Lineage: Eukaryota; Metazoa; Chordata; Mammalia; Rodentia; Muridae. The record is from miRBase by way of RNAcentral.
GAUCAGGGCCUUUCUAAGUAGA